RNAcentral lists this ribosomal RNA (463 nucleotides) under uncultured bacterium. Its description in RNAcentral is "partial 16S ribosomal RNA". It matches the Rfam family "Bacterial small subunit ribosomal RNA", at positions 28 to 506 of the family's 1533-position model. The record is from RNAcentral.
GACGAACGCUGGCGGCGUGCUUAACACGUGCAAGUCGAACGGAAAGGCCCCUUUGGGGGUACUCGAGUGGCGAACGGGUGAGUAACACGUGAGUAACCUGCCCUUGACUUCGGGAUAACUUCAGGAAACUGGGGCUAAUACCGGAUAGGAAUCCUUGCUGCAUGGUGGGGGUUGGAAAGCUUCGGCGGUUUUGGAUGGACUCGCGGCUUAUCAGCUUGUUGGUGGGGUAGUGGCUUACCAAGGCUUUGACGGGUAGCCGGCCUGAGAGGGCGACCGGCCACAUUGGGACUGAGAUACGGCCCAGACUCCUACGGGAGGCAGCAGUGGGGAAUAUUGCACAAUGGGCGGAAGCCUGAUGCAGCAACGCCGCGUGCGGGAUGACGGCCUUCGGGUUGUAAACCGCUUUCAGCAGGGGCGAAGCUUUUGUGACGGUACCUGCAGAAGAAGCACCGGCUAACUACGU